AACGAACGCUGGCGGCAUGCCUAACACAUGCAAGUCGAACGAGACCUUCGGGUCUAGUGGCGCACGGGUGCGUAACGCGUGGGAAUCUGCCCUUGGGUUCGGAAUAACAGCGAGAAAUUGCUGCUAAUACCGGAUGAUGACGUAAGUCCAAAGAUUUAUCGCCCAAGGAUGAGCCCGCGUAGGAUUAGCUAGUUGGUGAGGUAAAGGCUCACCAAGGCGACGAUCCUUAGCUGGUCUGAGAGGAUGAUCAGCCACACUGGGACUGAGACACGGCCCAGACUCCUACGGGAGGCAGCAGUGGGGAAUAUUGGACAAUGGGCGAAAGCCUGAUCCAGCAAUGCCGCGUGAGUGAUGAAGGCCUUAGGGUUGUAAAGCUCUUUUACCCGGGAUGAUAAUGACAGUACCGGGAGAAUAAGCU
Molecule: ribosomal RNA, 418 nt
Filed under: uncultured bacterium
Lineage: Bacteria
Description: bacterial SSU rRNA
Rfam family: Bacterial small subunit ribosomal RNA
Source: RNAcentral